CGGGGGUAUCGACCCCCUCGGUGCCGCAGCUAACGCAUUAAGUACCCCGCCUGGGGAGUACGGUCGCAAGAUUGAAACUCAAAGGAAUUGACGGGGGCCCGCACAAGCGGUGGAGUAUGUGGUUUAAUUCGAAGCAACGCGAAGAACCUUACCUGGGUUUGACAUGCUUGAGACAACCGGUGAAAGCCGGUCUUCCCUUCGGGGACUCUUGCACAGGUGCUGCAUGGCUGUCGUCAGCUCGUGCCGUGAGGUGUUGGGUUAAGUCCCGCAACGAGCGCAACCCUUGUCCAUAGUUGCCAGCUAGUAAUGUAGGGAACUCUAUGGAGACUGCCGGUGACAAGCCGGAGGAAGGUGAGGAUGACGUCAAGUCCUCAUGGCCCUUACACCCAGGGCUACACACGUACUACAAUGGCCGGUACAGAAGGUCGCAAUAUCGUGAGAUGGAGCCAAUCCUCAAAACCGGCCUCAGUUCAGAUUGGAGUCUGCAACUCGACUCCAUGAAGGAGGAAUCGCUAGUAAUCGCUGAUCAGCAGGCAGCGGUGAAUACGUUCCCGGGCCUUGUACACACCGCCCGUCAAGCCACGGAAGUUGGGAGCACCCGAAGUCGUUUGCUUAACCGCAAGGAUGGCGAUGCCUAAGGUGAAACCGAUGACUGGGGCUAAGUCGUAACAAGGUAGCCG
Molecule: ribosomal RNA, 680 nt
Filed under: uncultured bacterium
Lineage: Bacteria
Description: bacterial SSU rRNA
Rfam family: Bacterial small subunit ribosomal RNA
Source: RNAcentral